Molecule: ribosomal RNA, 468 nt
Filed under: uncultured bacterium
Lineage: Bacteria
Description: partial 16S ribosomal RNA
Rfam family: Bacterial small subunit ribosomal RNA
Source: RNAcentral
GACGAACGCUGGCGGCGUGCUUAACACAUGCAAGUCGAACGGAAAGGCCCUGCUUUUGUGGGGUGCUCGAGUGGCGAACGAGCGAGUAACACGUGAGUAACCUGCCCUUGACUUUGGGGUAACUUCCGGAAACUGGGGCUAAUACCGGAUACGAGCUCCUGCUGCAUGGUGGGGGUUGGAAAGUUUCGGCGGUUGGGGAUGGACUCGCGGCUUAUCAGCUUGUUGGGUGGGUAGUGGCUUACCAAGGCUUCGGCGGGUGGCCGGCCUGCGAGGGUGACCGGCCAUCUUGGGGCUGGGGAACGGGCCCGACCCCUACGGGAGGCAGCAGGGGGGGAUUUUGCACCAUGGGCGGAAGCCUUAUGCAGCAACGCCGCGUGCGGGAUGGCGGGCUUCUGGUUGUAGACCGCUUUCGCCGGUGACGGAGCGUUAGUGACGUUAAUGGGUAAAGAAGCACCGGCUAACUACGUG